Molecule: long non-coding RNA, 1836 nt
Filed under: Pogona vitticeps (central bearded dragon)
Lineage: Eukaryota; Metazoa; Chordata; Lepidosauria; Squamata; Agamidae
Description: lncRNA (ENSPVIG00000016580.1)
Source: RNAcentral
GCUGCCUUUCCUCGCCGUUGGCCUUCACAGCCCCCACCCCACCCCCCCUCUCCCUCCUCUGCCCCCCUUUCGGCUCUUGCCUUGUUUCCUGUCUCUUGUGGGAAUGUUUGCAACACCAGCCUUCAAAGGGACAAGGGUGCCGGCCUUUUUUUUUUUAAGUUUUAUUUUUCUUUGGGGUUUGCCUGAUGUCACCCUAGGAAAACCUCUGAGUGGGGUGGGGGGGCGCCUCUUCCUCCUUCUCCUCUUCCUCCCCCAGGCUUCCCAAUCGCUCCCGCGCCCCGCCCCCCCGCCUGCUCUGAGCGAAUGGGUCGCUCCUAGAAGGUUCCCGCCCAUGCGCACUUCUGCGGAGCUUCGGCCCGCCUCCCGGCCUGUCCCACCGUGCCAGUCAGGGGAGGGCCUCCCCCUCCGCUCGCGUGAUUGGUCGCGCCCGUCCUAUGACCUUCCCGGGUCGUGAGAGAAGGCGGGCUCAGUCUGCUGCGUCGACUCGGCCGGGCAGCAGCGUUUCGAGAGGGAAGGUCUUUCGCCGCCGCCGCCGCCGCUUCUGCUUCUGCCUCCCCUCCAGGCCUCCUGCCGGCCAUGGUUUCCUUGCUCUGCUGCGGGCCGAAGAUGGCCGCGUGCGGGAUCGUGCUUAGCGUCUGGGGCGUCAUCAUGCUGGUCCUGCUGGGGAUCUUCUUCAACGUCCACUCGGCCGUCCUGAUCGAAGAUGUCCCCACCAAGGAGGAGGACUUCAAAGGUGGCCCAAGCCGGAUCUACGGUCUCUACGAACAAGUCAGCUACAACUGCUUCAUUGCGGCCGGCCUCUAUGUUCUCCUGGGGGGCUUCUCCUUCUGCCAAGUGCGCCUCAACAAACGGAAGGAGUACAUGGUCCGCUAAGGACCUGCCCCCUCUGACUCCUCCUCAUUUUUGGAGGGGCUGAUGACUGUGGCUUCUCUUGCAGGACCCUCCUCCCCAUCUUGUAUUUUUUUUUUAACAGCCCUGGCCUCCAUGGGCAUUUGGGCUGUAGAGGGGAGGGGGUUCCUUGCUAUACUUGGAUUACACAACAGCCCCACUUUCCCCAUCACAAAGGCCCAGGGAGCAGCAUCCCGUGUCCAGGGUAUGUUGCUGCUUUGGUUGGCAAGACCUGGAUUUCAGUGUUGUGUAAAUAGUGUGGACACUCCUCGUUCUGUUCCUGCUGUCCCCAUCUCCCACCCCCACCUGAGAACAGUGAAUAAACACCCACCCACUCUUACCAGUCUCCAGCAGACAGUAACAGGAUCUCCUGCCUGCUGUGUCAGGUGCUUUGCUUCACACAGUGCUAUAGCUGGUCUGCUCCAGUCCCUAUCCCUGUCAUGUUCUGGUUCUGUUUUUGAUGUCCAUCGUCAUUGUUUGUUGUGUAAACGUGUAAUUCUUACUGGCUGGUAAGGACUGGGACUGUGUGUGCAUGUGCAGUGGGGGGGGGGAGCAUCCCUGUGAAUAGGACCAAAAUAUGACUUGUAAAAAAACCCCGCCUGUUGCUGUUUCUGGUGUUUGGAGGUGCAGCUCAGAGGUCUGUGUUCCUUUUGUGGUGGAGGUGACCGCCACUCCUGCCCCAGGAAGUCAAAGCUGCUCUGAAGACUGCUGCUCAGGGGAGUGGGUUGAAGAGCCCUCUGUUUGCAACCAAGACCCUAGUAGUAACGGACUUGGCCCACUUUCAUCUCAGGUGGAAGGAGAAGGAGGUGCAACUCUGGCUGUACAUUGGUGGGAUCUGUAGCAGCAGCAGUUUCCCUGCACAAAGGGGUGGAUAUUUUGAAAGUAGUCCGCUAUUUCUCUAGACAUACGUGCAAUAAAUAGCAUUUGAAUCUCCUUGUGCCUCUUUGU